AUUAAUUCUUCAUUGCAACAGAUCUACAAAAGCUAGAAGACUAGCAAAUGUUUCCAUUUUUUUAUUACAGUACUGGUUGUAUGCAAUACUGAAGAUUGUCACAGAUGAAAAUAUUAUUAUUAGAAGACUUCUACAUCUGUAUUGACAUGAAAAUUUUUAAAAGCAUCUCUAUCAGAAAAUAUCAAACAAUUUGGAUGCAUGUACAAAAAAAAUCUCAUUAAUUUGAACAUAAAAGGAAUGACAGCAAGAGCAUGUGUCUAUCCUGAUGGAUCAGCAGCUAAGCCAGGGCUCAGCUGGUGGAAGUUAAUUUGUGCUCCAUGGUGCUUCUGGUACCUGUCUGAAGGGUCUAAAGAUUCCUAAGCUUCAACUUGCCAAGAGAUAAGGCUAAUACCAUGAUGAUCUACUGUAGAAGAAAACAGCUCUCUGUGCUUUUCAAAGUACAACUCAGGGAUGGGAGAGGUUUGUUUGUAUUUGAAUAUGUAGCUAAGCUUUAUAAAAUUUUGCUUUGAAGUAUGAGGUUCUUAAAUAAUACUAUGUGUGAUAACCAACCUGUUGGAAAACACAACUUACAGAUUUCUAGACACUUGGAAAAAAUGGUAUUUCUUCUAUGUGCUUCUUUAUUUCAUGCCUCUUUCCUACCCCAAUCAACUUAAUGCUUGUGUAUUUGUAGACUUUUGAAAGCAUUCUUUGCAAAUUUUCUUCAUAAAAAAUUGUCAUUCAUGUUCCCUUAGAGCGAAAAGCUUUAAUUUUGAUCCAUCUCUAGUGUUGUCAAGGUUUGUUGCAGUUCUUUUUGGUUUUGCCAUUUGAUUUCAUAAAUAAGGCUUCACUUUUCUAACAUUGUUCAUUGACCUUUAAUCUAAAGCUGAAACUUUAAUAGUGAUAGUGGAGAAUAACCACUACAGCUGAGGUUCCACUGUUCCACACAAUUCCCUUAACUACUAUUGCUUCAUUAUUAACAGAAACUCAAAAUACGCAGAAAUUUUGAAUUUCCAUCCUGAAUUUAAAGGUUAUCUGUUCAGAGCAAAAUAGUAAUACAAAGUUCUGCAUGGAAUAAUCAGAAUUAGAGUAACUACUCUUGUUUGGUCAGGGACCCCUGUUGUGGAAGCAGUACUCCUUGAUUCUGUUCGGAGUAGCAGAAUACUUUUAAGUCAGAACAUUUUUCCCAACCUGUGCUACUGUUAUAGCACUUCCAACUGAAGAUACUCUGUUCUAUAGCUCCUGCUAUUAAAAGGGCUCAUUUCUUCUCUCCCACACAAAUUUCUGUGAGCUGGUUAAGCAAACCAAAUCUAGGGAGUUCUAUUCUGUUUGGAGAUCUCUCUGCUUGACUGACCUGCAAUGCACUUUGAAACACUGGGUGAAAAAAAAUUUGAUAGGAUCACCUGAUUAACAGCUGUCCUUUAUUCCUGUUUAUGUAGACACAUAUUAUAGUAUCCAUCCACAAAGACUGGACUUUCUGCUCAAAACCAACUAUAUAUCACUAGACAGGUUUUUAAUGCAAUGACAGAAAUAGUCAGAAUUCACAAGCUAUAUUCAGGUAGAUAUUCCAAACUAUCAGUGUUGGGAUUUUUUUUUUUUUUUUAGCUGGAAAGGAGUUACUAUAUCAAAGUAAUUUUUUUCCCAUCUCUAUUUGUAUUAAUAAAAAUAUAGAAAUUAAAGUAAAAAAUUUACA
This is a long non-coding RNA of Zonotrichia albicollis (white-throated sparrow), 1669 nucleotides long. Lineage: Eukaryota; Metazoa; Chordata; Aves; Passeriformes; Passerellidae. The record is from Ensembl.